AUUUUUUGAUUUGGGGAAGAACGUGACCCUUAAUUAUUGGAAGAAAAUUUGGAGAUUUUGGAGUGUAGAUUACACAUUGUAAAAUUAGGGUUCCAAUUUUAUAUAUUUGGGGAAGAAAUAGUCGUUGGAGAAGGAAGAGAGCCGUUGGGGAAGAAGAGCAAUUUCCUGAAAUUCAAUCAACUUAGUCCUUGAAAAUUUAGGUCAUUAUCGGCCAAAUUAGUCCCUGCCUACGUGGCGUCUGACAUGUGAGAGGUUAACGGCCACGUCAACCCCGUUAACGCUCCGUUUGAACUGAAGGACUAACUUGA
Molecule: long non-coding RNA, 308 nt
Filed under: Medicago truncatula (barrel medic)
Lineage: Eukaryota; Viridiplantae; Streptophyta; Magnoliopsida; Fabales; Fabaceae
Description: long non-coding RNA (MTRU_LNC002259)
Source: RNAcentral